GUAGGUGGCAAGCGUUGUCCGGAAUUAUUGGGCGUAAAGCGCGCGCAGGCGGUUCUUUAAGUCUGAUGGUGGAAACGACCCACGGGCUCAACCGUGGAGGGUCAUUGGAAACUGGAGAACUUGAGUACAGAAGUAGGAAAGCGGAAUUUCCACGUGUAGCGGUGAAAUGCGUAGAGACGUGGAGGAACACCAGUGGCGAAGGCGGCUUUCUGGUCUGUAACUGACGCUGAGGCGCGAAAGCGUGGGGAGCAAACAGGAUUAGAUACCCUGGUACGUCCACGCCGUAAACGAUCGAGUGCUAAGUGUUAGGGGGUUUCCGCCCCUUAGUGCUGCAGCUAACGCAUUAAGCACUCCGCCUGGGGAGUACGGCCGCAAAGGCUG
Molecule: ribosomal RNA, 381 nt
Filed under: uncultured organism
Description: partial 16S ribosomal RNA
Rfam family: Bacterial small subunit ribosomal RNA
Source: RNAcentral